GACGAACGCUGGCGGCGUGCUUAACACAUGCAAGUCGAACGAAGUGGCGAACGGGUGAGUAACGCGUAAUCAACCUGCCCUUCAGAGGGGGACAACAGUUGGAAAGGACUGCUAAUACCGCAUACUGAAGGAGUGGAUUGAGUCUGAUUAGCUAGUUGGAGGGGUAACGGCCAACCAAGGCGAUGAUCAGUAGCCGGUCUUGGAGGAUGAACGGCCACAUUUGGACUGUGACACGGCCCCGACCCCUACGGGAGGCAGCAGUGGGGAAUCUUCCGCAAUGGACUAAAGUCUGACGAAGCAACGCCGCGUGAGUGAUGACGGCCUUCGGGUUGGAAAGCUCUGUUCAUCGCGACGCGGUACCGUUAUAGAAAGCCACGGCUAACUACGUGCCAGCAGCCGCGGUAAUAC
Molecule: ribosomal RNA, 408 nt
Filed under: uncultured bacterium
Lineage: Bacteria
Description: partial 16S ribosomal RNA
Rfam family: Bacterial small subunit ribosomal RNA
Source: RNAcentral